This 497-nucleotide ribosomal RNA is filed under the name uncultured bacterium. Its description in RNAcentral is "partial 16S ribosomal RNA". It matches the Rfam family "Bacterial small subunit ribosomal RNA", at positions 28 to 507 of the family's 1533-position model. The record is from RNAcentral.
GAUGAACGCUGGCGGCGUGCCUAAUACAUGCAAGUCGAGCGAACGGACGAGAAGCUUGCUUCUCUGAUGUUAGCGGCGGACGGGUGAGUAACACGUGGAUAACCUACCUAUAAGACUGGGAUAACUUCGGGAAACCGGAGCUAAUACCGGAUGAUAUCUUGAACCGCAUGGUUCAAAAGUGAAAGACGGUCUUGCUGUCACUUAUAGAUGGAUCCGCGCUGCAUUAGCUAGUUGGUAAGGUAACGGCUUACCAAGGCAACGAUGCAUAGCCGACCUGAGAGGGUGAUCGGCCACACUGGAACUGAGACACGGUCCAGACUCCUACGGGAGGCAGCAGUAGGGAAUCUUCCGCAAUGGGCGAAAGCCUGACGGAGCAACGCCGCGUGAGUGAUGAAGGUCUUCGGAUCGUAAAACUCUGUUAUUAGGGAAGAACAUAUGUGUAAGUAACUGUGCACAUCUUGACGGUACCUAAUCAGAAGGCCACGGCUAACUACGUG